CCUACGGGAGGCAGCAGUGGGGAAUUUUGGACAAUGGGCGCAAGCCUGAUCCAGCAAUGCCGCGUGAGUGAAGAAGGCCUUCGGGUUGUAAAGCUCUUUUGUCAGGGAAGAAACGGUGGGAGCUAAUAUCUCCUGCUAAUGACGGUACCUGAAGAAUAAGCACCGGCUAACUACGUGCCAGCAGCCGCGGUAAUACGUAGGGUGCAAGCGUUAAUCGGAAUUACUGGGCGUAAAGCGUGCGCAGGCGGUUUUGUAAGACUGUCGUGAAAUCCCCGGGCUCAACCUGGGAAUGGCGAUGGUGACUGCAAGGCUAGAGUUUGGCAGAGGGGGGUAGAAUUCCACGUGUAGCAGUGAAAUGCGUAGAUAUGUGGAGGAACACCGAUGGCGAAGGCAGCCCCCUGGGUCAAAACUGACGCUCAUGCACGAAAGCGUGGGGAGCAAACAGGAUUAGAUACCCUGGUAGUCCACGCCCUAAACGAUGUCUACUAGUUGUCGGGUCUUAAUUGACUUGGUAACGCAGCUAACGCGUGAAGUGACCGCCUGGGGAGUACGGUCGCAAGAUUAAAACUCAAAUGAAUUGACGGNGUGAGAGNGCGAGACGACGACGAGGGAGGAGG
This 617-nucleotide ribosomal RNA is filed under the name uncultured bacterium. Its description in RNAcentral is "bacterial SSU rRNA". It matches the Rfam family "Bacterial small subunit ribosomal RNA", at positions 338 to 948 of the family's 1533-position model. The record is from RNAcentral.